This is a non-coding RNA of Mycena vulgaris, 86 nucleotides long. The record is from the annotation of a GenBank genome assembly. NCBI's taxonomy places the organism in Eukaryota, Fungi, Basidiomycota, Agaricomycetes, Agaricales, Mycenaceae.
GGUCUGCUGGUGUAGGGGUAACACAUCUGUCUUGUAGUUAAAGAAUGCUUGAGCAGGAGUCCCGUGUUCGACUCAAGGCUAGGCCA